This 86-nucleotide transfer RNA is filed under the name Cordylochernes scorpioides. RNAcentral's name for it is "tRNA-Ser". It matches the Rfam family "tRNA". From Rfam's summary of the family: Transfer RNA (tRNA) molecules are approximately 80 nucleotides in length. Their secondary structure includes four short double-helical elements and three loops (D, anti-codon, and T loops). Further hydrogen bonds mediate the characteristic L-shaped molecular structure. tRNAs have two regions of fundamental functional importance: the anti-codon, which is responsible for specific mRNA codon recognition, and the 3' end, to which the tRNAs corresponding amino acid is attached (by aminoacyl-tRNA synthetases). tRNAs cope with the degeneracy of the genetic code in two manners: having more than one tRNA (with a specific anti-codon) for a particular amino acid; and 'wobble' base-pairing, i.e. permitting non-standard base-pairing at the 3rd anti-codon position. Lineage: Eukaryota; Metazoa; Arthropoda; Arachnida; Pseudoscorpiones; Chernetidae. The record is from RNAcentral.
CCCUCGAUAGCUCAGUUGGCAGAGCGGAGGACUAGAUGUUACAACGGUGAUCCUUAAGGUCGCUGGUUCAAAUCCGGCUCGAGGGA